This 477-nucleotide ribosomal RNA is filed under the name Candidatus Scalindua brodae. RNAcentral's name for it is "bacterial SSU rRNA". It matches the Rfam family "Bacterial small subunit ribosomal RNA", at positions 365 to 832 of the family's 1533-position model. Lineage: Bacteria; Pseudomonadati; Planctomycetota; Candidatus Brocadiia; Candidatus Brocadiales; Candidatus Scalinduaceae. The record is from RNAcentral.
UUCGCAAUGCCCGAAAGGGUGACGAAGCGACGCCGCGUGGGUGAGGAAGGCCUUCGGGUUGUAAAGCCCUGUCAGGAGUUAAGAAAUAUAAGUGCGCUAAUAUCGCAUUUAUUUGACGAAGGCUCCAAAGGAAGCCACGGCUAACUCUGUGCCAGCAGCCGCGGUAAUACAGAGGUGGCAAGCGUUGUUCGGAAUUAUUGGGCGUAAAGAGCACGUAGGUGGAUUUGUAAGUCAGAUGUGAAAGCCUUCUGUUCAACGGAAGAAUUGCAUCUGAAACUACAAACCUUGAGUAUAGGAGGGGAGAAUGGAACUUCUGGUGGAGCGGUGAAAUGCGUAGAUAUCAGAAGGAACGCCGGCGGCGAAAGCGACUCUCUGGCCUAUUACUGACACUGAGUGUGCGAAAGCUAGGGGAGCAAACGGGAUUAGAUACCCCGGUAGUCCUAGCCGUAAACGAUGGGCACUAAGUAGAGGGGUUUU